RNAcentral lists this ribosomal RNA (462 nucleotides) under uncultured bacterium. RNAcentral's name for it is "partial 16S ribosomal RNA". It matches the Rfam family "Bacterial small subunit ribosomal RNA", at positions 29 to 507 of the family's 1533-position model. The record is from RNAcentral.
AGUGAACGCUGGCGGCGUGCCUAAUACAUGCAAGUCGAACGGAGAUUAAGUAGCUUGCUAUUUAAUCUUAGUGGCGCACGGGUGAGUAAUAUAUAGCUAACUUGCCCAUUACUAAGGGACAACAGUUGGAAACGACUGCUAAUACCUUAUACUCCGUAUCUAUAUAAGUAGAUACGGGAAAGUUUUUCGGUAAUGGAUAGGGCUAUAUCGUAUCAGCUAGUUGGUAAGGUAAUGGCUUACCAAGGCUAUGACGCGUAACUGGUCUGAGAGGAUGAUCAGUCACACUGGAACUGAGACACGGUCCAGACUCCUACGGGAGGCAGCAGUAGGGAAUAUUGCUCAAUGGGGGAAACCCUGAAGCAGCAACGCCGCGUGAAGGAUGACACUUUUCGGAGCGUAAACUCCUUUUCUUGGGAAAGAAUUAUGACGGUACCCAAGGAAUAAGCACCGGCUAACUCCGUG